CCGGCACGGGUGAGUAACACGUAUCCAACCUGCCGUCUACUCUUGGACAGCCUUCUGAAAGGAAGAUUAAUACAAGAUGGCAUCAUGAGUCCGCAUGUUCACAUGAUUAAAGGUAUUCCGGUAGACGAUGGGGAUGCGUUCCAUUAGAUAGUAGGCGGGGUAACGGCCCACCUAGUCUUCGAUGGAUAGGGGUUUUGAGAGGAAGGUCCCCCACAUUGGAACUGAGACACGGUCCAA
Molecule: ribosomal RNA, 237 nt
Filed under: uncultured bacterium
Lineage: Bacteria
Description: partial 16S ribosomal RNA
Rfam family: Bacterial small subunit ribosomal RNA
Source: RNAcentral